Molecule: ribosomal RNA, 253 nt
Filed under: uncultured bacterium
Lineage: Bacteria
Description: partial 16S ribosomal RNA
Rfam family: Bacterial small subunit ribosomal RNA
Source: RNAcentral
UACGAGGGGUCCAAGCGUUGUUCGGAAUUACUGGGCGUAAAGCGGGUGUAGGUGGCUAAGUAAGUCGGAUGUGAAAGCCCAGGGCUCAACCCUGGAAGUGCAUCCGAAACUGCAUAGCUUGAGUACUGGAGAGGAUAGUGGAAUUCCUGGUGUAGCGGUGAAAUGCGUAGAUAUCAGGAGGAACAUCGGUGGCGAAGGCGGCUAUCUGGCCAAGUACUGACACUCAGACCCGAAAGCGUGGGUAGCAAACAGG